CCAAUAGCGUAUAUUAAAGUUGUUGCAGUUAAAAAGCUCGUAGUUGAAUUUCGGGAUUGACACAUCGGUCGUGCCUUAAGGGGUAUGAACUGGUGUAGUCAAUUUCUCACCUUCUGGAGAACCGCGAUGCCCUUAAUUGGGUGUCGCGGGGAACCAGGACCUUUACUUUGAAAAAAUUAGAGUGUUUAAAGCAGGCAUUUUGCUUGAAUACAUUAGCAUGGAAUAAUAAAAUAGGACGGCAUGAUUCUAUUUUGUUGGUUUCUAGGAUCACCGUAAUGAUUAAUAGGGAUAGUUGGGGGCAUUAGUAUUCAAUUGUCAGAGGUGAAAUUCUUGGAUUUAUUGAAGACUAACUACUGCGAAAGCAUUUGCCAAGGAUGUUUUCAUUAAUCAAGAACGAAAGUUAGGGGAUCGAAGACGAUCAGAUACCGUCGUAGUCUUAGCCAUAAACUAUGCCGACUAGGAAUCAGACGAUGUUAAUUUUUUAAUGACUCGUUUGGCACCUUAC
This 505-nucleotide ribosomal RNA is filed under the name uncultured Glomeromycotina. RNAcentral describes it as "partial small subunit ribosomal RNA". It matches the Rfam family "Eukaryotic small subunit ribosomal RNA", at positions 591 to 1091 of the family's 1831-position model. Lineage: Eukaryota; Fungi; Glomeromycota. The record is from RNAcentral.